Molecule: long non-coding RNA, 1655 nt
Organism: Zingiber officinale
Lineage: Eukaryota; Viridiplantae; Streptophyta; Magnoliopsida; Zingiberales; Zingiberaceae
Exons: 4
Source: RefSeq, a predicted model, not a curated record
UGUGAAAUGAAUCCAAAGUUGGUGCUCACCAAAUCCUUGUCCAUCUUGUCCCUGCUGUUCAUGUUGGAGGGAAGGAAGCCCGCGCUGGCUACGACGUCGGUCAUGGAGGACUGCGGGUCCAAGAGCUGCGGGGACGGCCGCAACAUCACCUAUCCCUUCUGGCUCGACGGUCAGCAGCAAUCCUACUGUGGCUACUCCUCCUUCAGGGUCACCUGCAAGAACAACAGCUACAGCCCUGUGAUGACCUUCCUAGACCGAGAGUUUUAUGUCAUCGACAUCUUCUACGACAACCGAUCGCUCAUCCUCACUUCUAUCGAGUUCCUCGAUCAGCAGUGCCCGUUGCCUUACACCAACGUCACUACUAAUACAGUUCAAAACAAAAAUCCUGAUGGAAGAAUCCCUCUAAUCAAUUAAUGGUCUGAUCUUUGUGCCAGCUCUAAUCAACAUAGGGAUUCUACCUUCCUACGACUUAUCUACAAUAAAAGCUGCAGCAAAUGAUUUCUCUGAUGAAAAUAAACUCGGUGAAGGAGGAUUUGGUGUUGUUUACAAGGGUCAGUUGCAAGAUGGACAAAAGAUUGCAGUCAAAAAAUUGUCAAGAUACUCUUCGCAAGGUCCAAAUGAGUUCCAAAAUGAACUUUCACUGAUAGCCAAGUUACAACAUAGAAAUCUUGUUCGACUUUUGGGAUCGUGUAUUGAAGGAGAUGAGAGACUCAUCAUCCUUGAAUACAUGGAAAAUAAAAGCUUAGACUCCUUCAUUUAUGAUAAAGCUAGAAGUUCAUUGCUAAACUGGCAAAAGCGUCUAGAUAUAAUAAUUGGGAUUGCUCGUGGACUCCUAUACUUGCAUCAAGACUCUCUCUUGAGGGUCAUCCAUCGUGAUCUUAAGCCGAGUAAUAUACUCCUUGACAAGGAUAUGAUUCCAAAAAUUUCAGAUUUUGGCAUUUCAAGGAUAUUUGAAGGAGAUGGAGCUCCGGAGAAUGCAACUACGAGGCCAAUUGGAACGAUGUAAGUACUUUAAGAUGAAUUUAUUUGAUUGAAAAGAUAAAAAAGAUUAUUUAUGUUUUAUGUGCAAAUUUGUUAUCUUUCCUUUUUCUUACCCCUUGUAUAUAUCUUAGUCAAACAAUAAAUUAUUGGACAAUGCUAAUAUUGAAGUUCUCAAAUGCAGUGGAUAUAUGGCACCUGAGUACUUAAAUGAUGGAGUUUUUUCAUUUAAAUCAGAUGUAUUUAGUUUUGGUGUCAUAGUAUUAGAAAUCCUUAGCGGCACAAGGAAUAGAAUAAUCAACCACACAGAUGCAAGUCUGAAUCUUUUAGGACAUGCAUAUAGGCUUUGGAAGGAAGGUAGAUCAUUAGAGAUUCUUGAUAAUGCAUUAGAUUGCUCAUAUCCAACAACAGAAAUCCUAAGUUGCAUCCGAAUGAGUUUGUUAUGUGUACAAGAUAAUAUCGAAGACAGACCAACAAUGGCGGAAGUCGUGAUGAUGCUGACAAGUGAGGACCAACUCCAAACUCCAUUUAAAGAACCUACCAUAAUAUCAACCAUUGGCGAAGAGCGCUUCACUAUUAAUGAAAUGAGUCUUACAAUCACAGGUCGAUAACAUGUUCGUUUGUUUUGCUUGAUAUAUACUUACAUCUUUUCUAGGGUAGUUAAUGCUUUGGAGGAU